This 110-nucleotide small RNA is filed under the name Lysobacter sp. A03. Its description in RNAcentral is "Xanthomonadaceae sRNA sX13". It matches the Rfam family "Xanthomonadaceae sRNA sX13". The record is from Rfam by way of RNAcentral. Lineage: Bacteria; Pseudomonadati; Pseudomonadota; Gammaproteobacteria; Lysobacterales; Lysobacteraceae.
AACGCCUGUCGCAGAUCUCUCCCUCCCCUGGAGUGAUCACGGAGCCAAAGCCCCUCCCCAGGCCUGGCUCCUCCAGCCCCGCCGGCCCCCCCUGCCUGCGGGGCUUUUUA